This 1483-nucleotide long non-coding RNA is filed under the name Equus caballus (horse). RNAcentral describes it as "lncRNA (ENSECAG00000056857.1)". Lineage: Eukaryota; Metazoa; Chordata; Mammalia; Perissodactyla; Equidae. The record is from RNAcentral.
AGGGCUGCCGUCCCCUCACAGCGGGGCUGACGCAGUGUGCCCAGGCCACCUGUGGGUUCCUGUCGUGCAAGAUGCAUGCUGCAGGGCGGGCUCCCUCUGUCCUGGCUCCAAGGCGCAGGCAGCCCUCAGAGAGGGACUGCCGCAUCUCCCUCCCCUCGGCCCUGCUAGAACACACACUCUCCACUCCCUCUGGGGCAAGGGCUUCUCUCUCCCAGGGCAGCCCACUGGCUCCUCUCUUACUAACAUCCAGACAGUUUAGGGUGGGAGCACGGAACCUUCCAGGUCCCUUCAUGGCCCUCCCAGAACCAAGAGUAGCUGGUGGCAGGCCGUCCUGCCACCCUCCUCGGGAGGGUGAACCACGUUACUGGCCUCCAUGCCCCACUUUCCAGUGUGCCUCUGUGUGGCAUCAGUUCUUAGAAACAGAUGCCCCGGCCCAUGACCCCAAGUCACCCUCAGACCUCACAGGCAAUUCUUUCGAGGCCUCUCCCCUAACUGAGGCAGAGUGCUCCCCCUACACACACACUCUGCUUUGGCUGCAAAUGGGGUAGAGGGGAGGCAAACAGCUCUCCCCAACAGGGAAAGGAGGAGAAAGGGACAGCCACUGCCCUUCUAACUGCCGCUCAGAAGACAGGCCCUUCUUCCUCCUGUAGCUCCCGAAGGCAAAGGAGAACGAUGCUACAGGAAGGCGCUGUCCAAGAGCCCAUGGGCACGUCACUGGCCAGGCACAGCUGGCCUCAAUCUGGGUUUCUGCUCCCUCCUCACUGCAGCGUCCAUCUGACCCUCAUGGGCACCACAGCCCUUGUUGAGGUCGCGACCUUUCCCACAGCCAUCAGCAACCUCUCUCCUCAUUUCUAGUUUAAUUUCAAGCUGAGAGAAUGAAUCCGACUGGUCCAGCUCAGCCUCUGGUGCCAGGCCACAAUCACCAGUCCAUCACCGCCUUAGCCAACAGGGUUGUGAGCAGGGUGUUCCCCGGACAGAGGCGAGGGCCCGCGGGUGAUGACUGACGUUUCCAGCACUCCUGCCGGAUUGUUCUCGGGUGUAAACGGGGUGGGAAAGGGUGGCUCCUCGUUCCAAGCCUGGUUCAUGGCAGCUGCUCCCUUCCCCCUCACUGCCACCUCUUUCAGCGGUGGGACGACCUUACAGUGGCCCCGCCCUCCCUGAACAGUAGCCCUAGCGCCCCGUCACCUCCCACCAGGGCCCCCUCACAGCCCACGCCGCUCAGCAGCACUUGCGACCUGAGCAGAGGCGGCCAGCGGCAGAGCUGGCGUGUGCAGGCAGGCGCGUUCUCUCACGCGGGAAGGAUGGAUGCGGCUUUCAGACAAGAAAAGAGGUGAACAGGAAGGAGAUGCGGCCGCCAACCCGCCAGCUUUGCGCCUUGCCCAGCGCUGACCGCUGAAAGCCAAGCCUCCCCAAGCGGCAGAGAGGGCAGAGGGGGUCUAACUGCUUCCGUCCUCUAUCCCCCAUCUCCCCCCAAAACCUCUCU